GAAACGACUGCUAAGACUGGAUAGGAAACAAAAAGGCAUCUUUUUGUUUUUAAAAGACCUUCUUACGAAGGUAUGCUUAAAGAGGGGCUUGCGCCACAUUAGUUAGUUGGUAGGGUAAAAGCCUACCAAGACGAUGAUGUGUAGCUGGACUGAGAGGUUGAACAGCCACAUUGGGACUGAGACACGGCCCAAACUCCUACGGGAGGCAGCAGUAGGGAAUUUUCGGCAAUGGAGGAAACUCUGACCGAGCAACGCCGCGUGAACGAUGAAGUAUUUCGGUAUGUAAAGUUCUUUUAUUGAAGAAGAAAAAGUAGUGGAAAAACUAUAUUGACGUUAUUCAAUGAAUAAGCCCCGGCUAACUAUGUGCCAGCAGCCGCGGUAAGACAUAGGGGGCGAGCGUUAUCCGGAAUUAUUGGGCGUAAAGGGUGCGUAGGCUGUUAGAUAAGUCUAUAAUUUAAUUUCAGUGCUUAACGCUGUCUUGUUAUAGAAACUGUCUUGACUAGAGUGAGAUAGAGGCAAGCGGAAUUCCAUGUGUAGCGGUAAAAUGUGUAAAUAUAUGGAGGAACACCAGAAGCGUAGGCGGCUUGCUGGGUCUUUACUGACGCUGAGGCACGAAAGCGUGGGUAGCAAACAGGAUUAGAUACCCUGGUAGUCCACGCCGUAAACGAUGAGUACUAAGUGUCGGGGUAAAACUCGGUACUGAAGUUAACACAUUAAGUACUCCGCCUGAGUAGUACGUACGCAAGUAUGAAACUUAAAGGAAUUGACGGGACUCCGCACAAGCGGUGGAUCAUGUUGUUUAAUUCGAAGAUACACGAAAAAUCUUACCAGGUCUUGACAUACUCUGCAAAGCUAUAGAAAUAUAGUGGAGGUUAUCAGGGAUACAGGUGGUGCAUGGUUGUCGUCAGUUCGUGUCGUGAGAUGUUAGGUUAAGUCCUAAAACGAGCGCAACCCUUGUCGUUAAUUGCCAGCACGUAAUGGUGGGGACUUUAGCGAGACUGCCAAUUAAACAUUGGAGGAAGGUGAGGAUUACGUCAAAUCAUCAUGCCCCUUAUGAUCUGGGCUACAAACGUGAUACAAUGGCUGUGACAAAGAGUAGCUGAAACGCGAGUUUUUAGCCAAUCUCAAAAAAGCAGUCUCAGUUCGGAUUGAAGUCUGUAACUCGACUUCAUGAAGUUGGAAUCGCUAGUAAUCGCGAAUCAGCAUGUCGCGGUGAAUACGUUCUCGGGGUUUGUACACACCGCCCGUCA
RNAcentral lists this ribosomal RNA (1250 nucleotides) under Candidatus Phytoplasma trifolii. RNAcentral describes it as "bacterial SSU rRNA". It matches the Rfam family "Bacterial small subunit ribosomal RNA", at positions 153 to 1399 of the family's 1533-position model. Lineage: Bacteria; Bacillati; Mycoplasmatota; Mollicutes; Acholeplasmatales; Acholeplasmataceae. The record is from RNAcentral.